This is a long non-coding RNA of Dama dama (fallow deer), 5530 nucleotides long. RefSeq lists it as uncharacterized. The transcript has 5 exons. NCBI's taxonomy places the organism in Eukaryota, Metazoa, Chordata, Mammalia, Artiodactyla, Cervidae. The record is from RefSeq and is a predicted model, not a curated record.
AGCGGCCUGGAUCCCGGCGGCACGCGGCACGCCGGGAGUCGGAGUCCUGCGUCUCUGGACGGUGUCCGGGCUGAGGUCCGGGCGGGGACCGCGCAGGCGGCGGGGCGGGCGCGACCCGGGGCGCUGUGGGGCGAGGGCGUGAACUCCAAAUGGCCCAGCUCCUCCUGGCACUGAAACUGAAGAAAGUGGUAACAUGAACCGUCCCCUCUGAUCUUUGCUUUGGCAACUGAGAAGCUCAGAGCCUAAUUUUCAGCUUUCAGCUCUUGUAUAUGGUAUGCGUGUCUGUAUCUUAUCUCUGGCCUUUUUUGUCUUUUUUUCUCCUAAUUUCUUCAUCUACAUCUUGUUUUCCAAUUACAUGUUUUUGUAAGUUACAACUUAUUCUAUGUGCUUCUGUAAACUGUGUCAUCUUUUUUUUUUUUUAACAAAACUGAGUAUAAAUCCUUUUAAAAGUAACAUUUUUCCCUUUAUCAUAUUAUUGUUGUUUUAUAAAGUAUUAGCAGCAGCAGCAGCAGAUGGGUCUGGUUUUGGUUUGGGGGGGACAGUUUAUCCACACCAUGCAGCAUGUGGGAUCUUAGUUCCCUGACCAGGGAUCAAACCUGGGCCCCCUGCAGUGGAAGUGUGAUGUCUUGAUCGCUGGACUGCCAAGGAAAGCCCUAGUGUCCCUUUUGAUUUACAACCUUGGUGAAUCACUGUCAUUUCUGCUGUCGUCUUCAUCAGGUUACCUUCAAUAAAUAAAACCUUAACCAUUCCGGUAUCUGGAAGCAUCAAAAUACUAUUUGGUUUUAUCAUAUACUAUAUAUAGUGCAGUUACAGGGCAGUUUUGUUAUUUACUACCCACCCACAGCCUCUGCCCUAUUUUUCCAUUUUAUUUCUGUCUCAUGUACAUGAACUUCUCAUUAUUAGUAUCUUUACUUAAUCAUCACGGGCUUUUUGUGCCUGCUUUUGGAACUUUUAUAAGUUACUUUUCACACAAUUUUUUGUUAUGUGUGUGUUUUCAUCAGUGUUGUUCUGCUAAUUUUAGACAGAGGAAAACUUAAAAUAAUGAUGUUUCUAAACCUCAAGGGCCUUCUCCUGGUCAUUAGGGCCUGAAAUUAAUUCAAGCUGAGGAGGACCCACAGGUGGGCUGUGGUGUUGUGGUCAGACCUCAGGUUAGUGUGUUAUAAAGGGGGAUUUCACUGAGACUCAAAGGAAAAAAAGCAGCAUCCUGCUUCAUUGGAAGGGAACCAGAUAAAGAUCAAAAUGUAUUUUGCAUAGAAUACUGAUAUUUCUAAUUUGGGGGAGUUUAGACUUUCCAUAUUUGUUACUAUAUAGAUACUGUCGUUUGAAUUUUCAGAAGGCUGCCCAGUGUUUUUACUCAAUGGGGAACAAAGCUUUGUAUUUCUGUAGUUCUGAAGUGCAGUCUGGUCACCCGGGAGAAGUUAAGUCCAGAUACAAUGUAGGUGCUGGUGAUCAAGCCGUAACGGCUCUCUGGGCUGGCCUCAUUGGCUUUCCUGCCUCUCUCGCUUCCCAGAGCAUAAGCUUAAAUCAUCUCAGAAGGACAAGGUCCGCCAGUUCAUGGCAUUUACUCAGGCUGGCAAGAGAAGUGCCGCCCACUGCUUAGAGCAGAGCAAGUAGACGGCAGACCUGGCCACGGACAGCUGCUUCCCGCACCCGAGCGUGUUCACAGGGAAUCCAUGAGCGCCUCCGUGGACAGGAAGAGACUGGAGCGGCUGUGUAACAGGUCCCAAGGUGAGGGCACCGAGGCGCCGCACGUCCAGGGCGCGGGGUGGAGGCUGGGAGCUUCCCAUGCCGUGUCCCAAGGCUUCCGACCCUGCGCCAUGUUAGGAGCACAGCCCCCUCCCUUGCUGAUGGUCAGCUCUACAGUUUAGUUGGUUUAAUCGGAACGUGGCUGCUGAUGGCUCGAGGCUGGGGUGGGACAAGGCACACAGUCUAAAGGCUGAUGGGCAGCGAGCCCUCCUAUCCGCGGCCUGGGUCAGCUGUGGGGAGUCACUGGUGGGAGGCUUGGUGUCCAGGCCAGGGGGCUAUGCCCGCUGCAGGAGUACUUUUCCCGAGCACUCCCACUGGGCAGGAGUACCUGGUGAGAAGGCUGCUUGAGAACCAUUCCACAUCGUCCGAGGAGUUCUGACAGGAGGUUCAGGUCACCCUGCCUGCCACAGUUGGUGGUGCCAGAGUCCUGCACCAGUGCCAGUGGCAGAAGCUUCUGGAAAGCUCUUGGCAGAGAAACCUUGUGUUGUCAGUUGGAGACAGCAGUUAUUUUUAUUGAAAUCGGUGCUUAGAAUGGCGCUUUCCCUCUCAAAAUACAGUCAUGAGGCAAAGCAAGUCUGCAGAUCCAGAGAGCUCCACGGGCUCCGAGUUCCGCAUCAGGUGUCAGGUCUGCUGAGUGGGAAGGCGGCAGUGGCUCAAGAGUUAUUUUUUCUUUCUAGCAGCUUCUAAGGUUACUCUUAUGUUUCCAAAACUUAAAAAAAUAGAACGCAGAAAGUGAAAACCCUCAUUUAAACAAGUAUUAACAUAGACUUCCUAGACUUUGAGUUCUUGUUUUCAUUUUUUACUUUUGAAAAUAUAGUGUGUAUAUUUUAAUCUAUUUAGAUAAAAAAAAAAUCAACUGAAAAUUGCAUUCUUUUUUUUUUUUAAUCUUAGUUCAGAAACUUCUGUGGUCAAAAGAACAGACCUGUAUUUGUAGUUCUCCAAAAGGAGCGUUGUUUUCAGCAUGCUUUAGAUUUUUUGGCUAAGUUAAUUACUGAGCUAGUUUUAAGUUAUUCAGAUGUGUGCAGCUGCUUUUGCAAAAGUUAUCUUUAUUCUUUAGUUCAAGAUUUGGGCCCUAAAAAUAAAUAUAUAGUUAGAGACUGUUGACAAACAUCUGUCCUUACAGAAUGUAUACAGAUGAGUGCCUCCAAGCUAUUUUAAUGCAUCCAGAAAUGACAUAUGUGAAGUUUGUCAUGAAGGCUGUUAGGUGAGGGCACGGUAGGCCCAUUUUCCUGUCCUCCUGACCGUGUGCCGUGUUAGGAGCACGGGCUUGAGUCGGGAUGUGGCGAGCCCCUCUGUGCCAUGAGUCCACUCUCACAACCUGGGAGUGUAGAGUUGGAGGGUCUUGGUGACUGCUCGAGUGAUGGGGGCCAGUGGUCUCCUUGGGUAAUGACGUACGUUAGAUGUGGUGCUGAGCACUGAGGAGUCCAACCCUGUGUGAUGAAGAGUCUGCUGCACUUGACCGUGCUCCAAGUGAAGUGCCACGGCCUGCUCUGGUGCCUCCCACAGCAGCAGGCGGCAUGUCACUACCAGGCGGGCCCAGAGACCACCGCCAGGCGGGCCCAGAGACCACCGCCAGGCGGGCCCAGAGACCACCGCCAGGCGGGCGAGCUCGUGGGGCCUCACUGUGGGCCCUUACUGAUGCUUUAGUAGGCUUCACUGUUUGAUUUUCCCAUGGAAAAAUGCUAACUUCCUUAGUUUUAUUUCUAAACUAGAAAUUAGGGGAGGGGUAAGCCAGAAUUUCUCAGCUGUUAAACGUGGGUGUAUAAACUAAAUGACCAAAAAAUAAGUGUUGUGCAGUGGUAUUAGCACUAUAAAAAAUAAAAUGACUUGAAAAAUACAUUAUCUUUCUUUUGCCUUGGCAAGGUGAUGGUAAAAGCUUGAACUCCUGUGAAUACUUCACCAUGCAGUGUUUUUCAUAGCAGUUUGCUUUGGGCAAGCUAAAAUUCUGUAAACUUGAAUUUUUAUUUUACUCUAGGGAAAUCAAAAUUUUUAUUCAUAAUGACAUUUUCAGAGAAGUUUCAGUGAUUUUUUUUUUCCCCCUGAAAACCCAGAAACCUCGAUUUUAAAAAUAGGAGUAUUUUCUGGAUAAAUUAUUAUGUUACUAUUUCUCUCAUAUAUACUUGAAAAUUGCAGUGCAUUGAUUGAUGUAUUAAAAAUACAUUCUUUACACCCAUUUUAGUAAUACUUUUCAAAAUAUCCAAGUUUUUAACUUAUUUUUCCCUUAAUUUUAACUGUAGACCCACAAGAUGAAAAUAAAAUUGGAAUUGAUGGAAUUCAACAGUUUUGUGAUGAUUUAAGCCUACAUCCUGCCAGUAUCUCAGUUUUGCUUAUAGCUUGGAAAUUCAGGGCUGCAACUCAAUGUGAAUUUAGCAAAAAGGAAUUUGUAGACGGCAUGACAGAACUUGGAUUUGGAAAUGGCCGUGGCAUACUGGAAUCUGGUGUUAUCUGGAAGGUUUAAGUUUCUAGAUCUUUGGAACACCUUCUUGUUGUAAGUCUGCUUUCUGCAUCUGCAUGUUGGCAUCAUGUAGCUCUUAACACAGACCCAAAGCACUGUUGCUGUGUUAACUUCUGACAGUGUUGACCUGUCCUCACUCCUGGUCAGAGUAUGUCCUGAGAUCACCAGGCUGAGAGCUCCGUCUGAGCCAGCGGUCUGCUGGUCUUUCCUUUUGUGUUUUAGGAGCAUCACAAAAGCUCAAUCCCAAGGGACACUUGGAACCUUCUUCUAGAUUUUGGAAACAUGAUCACAGAUGACAUGUCCAACUAUGAUGAAGAAGGAGCAUGGCCUGUUCUUACAGAUGAUUUUGUAGAAUACGCAAGGCCAGUGGUCACAGGUGGUAAAGGCAGUCGUGUCUCGGCAGAAAAUUGAGCUGGAUUUAGAUGAACCGGAACCACGUCCUGCAGAAGACGCUGGUUAGCUGUGCCUGCCACCCGUUUCUUCCUGACCCGUCAUGCGCCUGGAGACCCUCUCCUGCUGCUUACAGAAGACGCCGCUGGCUAUUGGCGCGGCACGGAGACCCUCCGCGAUGGCGGCUGGGCGCCUGGAGACCCUCUUCUGCUGCUUAAAGACGCCGCUGGCUAUUGGCGCGGCACGGAGACCCUGCGCGAUCGCGGCUGGGCGCCUGGAGACCCUCUCCUGCUGCUUAGAGAAGACGCCGCUGGCUAUUGGCGCGGCACGGACACCCCGCGCAAUCGCGGCUGGGCGCCUGGAGACCCUCUCCUGCUGCUUAGAGAAGACGCCGCUGGCUAUUGGCGCGGCACGGAGACCCUGCGCGAUCGCGGCUGGGCGCCUGGAGACCCUCUCCUGCUGCUUAGAGAAGACGCCGCUGGCUAUUGGCGCGGCACGGACACCCUGCGCAAUCGCGGCUGGGCGCCUGGAGACCGGGCCCCAGCUGCCGCAGUCGGAGCCCUCCGCGAUCGCGGCGUUGUGGAGGGGGCGGAGCCUGUCUGCAGUCUCUGCCCGCCCUGAGCUCUCACAGCCCGGUAACCACCUAAGAACCUGCCAGUCAGGCGGCUGGAAACGUGUCCUGAGAAGGCGGCCGUUGUGGACGCUGAGGUUUUUAGAUUUGGUGCCAGGAUUAAGAUGUAAGUUUUUUUAAUUAUCCAGAUUCAUCAGUUCUGUUUUCACCUCACUUUUCUCUGGACGUUCAUGGGAAUGAUUUUACAGGUCGAUGGGCUGUUGAGGUUUGCACGGCGACUUGAAACUGUGCAAGUCAGCGGGUCUGUUUACUGCUAAUAGUGUCAGUUCAACUUCCUAAGAAGCUUCAUAAAGUAUGCUUUAAAAAAA